RNAcentral lists this long non-coding RNA (11343 nucleotides) under Nicotiana tabacum (common tobacco). Its description in RNAcentral is "long non-coding RNA (NTAB_LNC000579)". The record is from RNAcentral. Lineage: Eukaryota; Viridiplantae; Streptophyta; Magnoliopsida; Solanales; Solanaceae.
AAAAUAGGAGAGGCGGCAAAAUGUGAAACGCAGAGAAGUCUGCAUUUCCUUUCGCCCUUUCUUUCUCGCACCCACAGUUACACACACAUACACGCACGAACUCCACACAGUACUCAUAGAAGAUCCAUAAGUAACCGUUGCGCACUUGCAAUCACGAAAUCUCUCUCUCAUCCCCUGCAGCUUUUCUGAAUCGCACUUUCAGCUUCUCGUUGUUCGGAAGUUUUCCGAGUGUUGUUGUUGGUAAUUGAUGUUUCUAUUUUCAAUCUACAGCAUUGAUUUUAUUAGUAUUUGAGAUAUCUGUUAAUUACUUGAAAAACAUGCCAAUUAAUAGAUGCAUUUUGAAGUGACUGAUGUGUGAAUUAUAGUCAAAUUGAAGUUGUAAUUAACGUAUUCAUAUAAACAUCAAUGGCGAUUUGUAGAGGAAUCCGCGAUAAGUAGCCGCCGCUUUUUGCGUGCACUGAACAUGUUUGUAGGUGUGCGUAGCGAUAUAUGUUUUUAUGAUUGUAUUAGAACAACUCAUAAUUGCGUUAUACCUUGAUAUUCCUAAGCUACCAGGUUUUGUAAACCUGCAAAUUAAAGUGUAAAGUAGUUGUAUGUCAAAAGUUACACAUCCAUUGUCAUGUCGAACUCAAGGCAUUUGGCUUGAAUAUGCCAUUAGAUGGAGUAUAUAUAUUUCAGAAUCCACUCUCUUGACUCAAAAUUCAUUAUUCUGAAUUUUGAAUUUGCUGCUGCACAUGUUUAUGCUCACCUCAUAGCUAAUGCUUAUGUGCAGGUUGAAAGUUGCUCUUCAUUCUCUUCUAGUGACAUUUUGGAAAUUCGGAGUUGCAGAAAUCUUAUGGUAUACGAUUUUCUCAGCUUCAAAAAGGUACGAUAUGCAUCUCCGUUCAAUUGUGAUUUUCGAAACUGUAUGGCUGGGUAGUAGUGUAGUACAGUAGUUGCAAACAACAACCGUAUUUCUGUGUUGUUUUAGACAACUUAUGAAGUAGUAUGAAUAGGGUGUUAGUUUAAGCUAAUCUUUACCAGGGUGCUGGUAUCAUGAAUAUAUUGGUAUGCUCUUUGCAAGUCCUGGUUUAUAUAUUUACCCUUUAGUCUUAAUUAUGUUUAGUCGAAAACAGUGUUCAUUAUAACGUUGUUCCCUUGUUCAAGCUUUUACUACUUGAUAAGAUUUUGCUGCAGCUCCCGUCUAUGAAAAAAGGGGUUUUGUUUAGCUUGUGGGAAGCUUUUCCUUUUACGAAUUACCAUCAGAAUUAGUUUGCAAAUUCGCCUCAUGUUGGUGUUGCGGAGCCAAACCAGUUAUUUUGUAAUUUAGGAGCCAAGUGUAUUGAUUGACAUGGAAGAGAAUCAAUUUUUAUUACUCUUUUAUAUCCUCCGAGGAGAAAAUGAGACGUAUAAAAAUCAACUGAAUUUGAAUUUCAGUUGGCUAAAGAUACACUAGCCUGUUGAAGAAUUCGAUGAUCGUCACUAAUAGAAAUGACCACCCUAAGUAUCAGCUACAAUUUACUUACAAGUUAGACAAUACCUAUCUUUUCUUUCCUAAGGUUUAAAACAUCAUGGUACUGAUUACUGAAUGUUGCUAGCUUGUUCAGCCUAGGUGGCUGCCUUGCUGAUUCAGUAGGACACUGCUCCCUAGUUUUCAUCUGGCUUUCCUUUAGUCUUACUCAAUCUGCUGGCUGGAAAAUGCAACCGUGCCAUCAGUGGUCUUGGUGCCCGUGUCUUCUUGUCAAAACCCCUCACACAAACAAACCCUGCGAAAUAAAGUACUUGAUCAGAAAGCAAAUAAAAGGUAUUGCAGCAAGGAAUAACACUUCUUCCUCUUAGUGACCUGAAUGAUUACUAUUCCUCAAAAUUUUGUUUUUAUGAUUUGUCCUGAGAGUGUAUAAAGAAAGCAUGAAACUUGCCAACAUGUUUUUUGAUGCUGAGCAAGUUGUAAUACAUUCUUUUUGGAUGCCAAAGGUAUCUAAUUGUGCCGUUUCUUGUUUGGGAGUCAUCAUUCCGAAGAAGGAUUGAAUGAUGAUUAUGGACUUAAUAAAAAAGAAAAAGUUGAUUGAUGGAAACCUAACUGGUACACAUUAUGUGUAAUUGUUGAGAGCAUGCAUCUAUGUCUGUGUUUACUCUUAUUACUGUAUGUCACUCUUUUUUCAAGUGUAUACAUGUGUUCUGGCCCUGCUCCAUAGUCAAAAAUAGAGGAGACAGGGCUGAUUGGCUGAAGGGAAUACAGAUUUUUCUGUUCGAAAGAUGGACUAGAACCAAGAUAACAUGUUCAUAGAUUAUCUUAAAAAAGAUAAGCUGUCUGCAUUAAUCGGUCAUAAACAGAUUGGAUGAAGAAGCAAAUAUUAUCAACAUAUCUGCAAAUAAGACUCUGGUUUUAACUUUCUCUCGAACCAUCACGUCAGAUAUCCUCGAUGACUCACUCUAUACCAAAUGGUAAACCUUGGAGGUUCUUCAAUUAUUUCUAUAUAAGCUGUAUAAACUUGUUCUCCCAGAUUAUUUUUUCCCCAGUUUCAAGCUUUGUUCUGAUGCUGAAUGCUUAUGCCCAUUUAACUUGAUACAGAGUCUUUUUGAACUUGAAUAUGGUAUUAACAUGCACACUUUUCGUUGAUUUAUUUAGUAGAAAUGGAUUAGAAGUUAAGACAAGCAUUUGGACCUCUGUGGAUUUAAAGUUUUCGACUACAUACCUCUCCAAAAGCAAUGUUGGAUACUUUCUGUGGUUAGGCCUGAUUAACAAAGAACAUAUUAAUGUUAUUUUACUCCCAAAGCAUUUAAAAAAAUAAAUGAUCAUCCUUUAGUUGUCCUUUUACCUUUAAAUAUUGUUGGUAUUGAGGUUCCAAAGUAAACUGUUCGUCGCGGCAGAUUCCAUAGCCAAUCUCGUGGGACGUCAAUUGGGUUGAGGCUGGAGUCAUGGUCUGCAAACACCUGAGAAAUAAGAAAAAUGCUACUGUGAAAACCUUAUUAAAUGGUAAAAUGCUUAUCUUUGACAUGUUCGAGUGAUGAGCUUAAAGUCGGCUGUAUUCACCUCGUUAACUUGAAAGUAUGUACCAUUGAGCGGAAAGCUUCCUCUCAUUGCCGUUCGACAUGGUAUCUGUUAGAGAAGUAUAUAUAGAGAUGAUUAGAAUUCUCAGACCGCUUUCCCAUGACAAACAUUACAGUUAGUUUGCUCUUUCUUUACCAGAAUUGUCCCUCUCACUGUUUGAGAAUGUGCUUCACGUAGGCUGUUGCAUGCAAAGCAUGUUUCAUCAUCACAUAGCCUACCAGCCUCUUGGGAGUUGCACUUUAUUGCAGGUGGAUGAAUAGAAUCCGCUGUUUCACCUGAGAUGGAAUUGAUACAUGACAGAGAAUAAGUUAUUUUGAAAGCCUGGGGAAAAGUUAACCUAUUUCGCCAAAUUACCCUCUACCACUGUAACACAAGCUACUAAUGAGAUUGGAACCUGGGACUUGCAUAGUUAGCUAUGUGCAAUUGUUCCUUACAAACAUGAGUUAUCUAAUUCAUCAGUUUUAGGGUUAAAGUAGUCGGAAGCGGAUGCUUUGCCUUUAGCUUUUUCGAAACAUCUCCUCCUAUGUAUUACAUUACAUUAAUCUUACCAGGUGUCCAUAUUGCCAGAAGAUAGGAGCAUGGAUCAUCUGGUUCUCUUUUGUCGAACUGCAACAUGAAAAGAUGCAAUUAUCGGGAGGAUUAAUUUCAAUAUCAGCUUACAUGCUGCUUAUAUAUGAAUAUUAAACUGAUGUAGUAUCACUGACCCCUUCUAGGAGAGGAUGAGAAUCCGAAAGUUCAUAUCUGUGGAUGGAGAAACAGUUGAUAGUAAGUGCAAACAAAUUUAGAAGAACUGUAUGAAAUAAUAGGCUACCCUCCCAUAUUGGGCUAUCUAUCAGAAGUUAUUGCACAUCUUUACUUUAUUUUAUGAUGUAGAUAUCAGGAGCAUCCACUUACACUUGAUGUUCAGUUCUGAGCCGGCUUAUAUGCUUAAGUUUAGGCACGGGAAUCGAUGCAGCUUCUGGAGUUAAAGCGACCAAGGCUUUUGACAUUUCUACCUGUUGAAGCUCCAUAUUGUUUUCCAUAAAUUUCCUCACAUUUUGAGUGAACUCUGCCAUAUUCAAUGUAAUUGUAGGAAUUUCAUUAGGAUCUUCAAAGUAAGCAUCUUCAAUGUCAACUUCGGGAGCUUUUUGCUCUGGCUCAGGCGAGGCAAGCUCUUCUACAAUGGGCUCUGGUGUUGCUGGCACUUCAAUAAUAGGUGCGGAGUUGAUCAAUUUGGAAUGCUCUAAUGGUGUUUGAUCAGCCUGAGGUAAGGGCAGCGACAGUUGGCUGAAGUUCUGGAAUGGAUUCUGGCCAGCUGCUUUGUUUUCUGUUGCACUCACAAUGCUUUUCUCUUCUGGUGCUGGAAGGGCAAGCCUUGCGCUGAAUGAGGAUUGUGUCAAAUACCAUAUGUGAAACACAAUGCAUUCAAUCUUUAGACUAGUAAAUUGCUAAUCUAGUUGUAAGGCAUUACUGAAUGUGCUGACCAUAAGGGUAUUGGCUUGAGUUUGGCAGUUGAGAUGUAGCAGUUCUAUCUUAUACCAGAAGAAAUCAGUAAAUAUUAAAGUUUCUAUUGAAGUUGCUUCAUCACUGACGACACUGAGUGACUGACCAAUUUGUCAAAUGGUUCAUUUUUGAGUUUAAGUGCUGGUGGAUUAGCUUAAAUGCAAAUUUGUGUUGCCUAAGUAGAUUCGUCAAAUCUUGUUUCAGUGGCCACAAUUCUGGAACUAUGAUUCUUUGGUUUAGGUGUAGAAAAGCUUGAGAAGAACUAAUAAAGAUGGACAUACAUGAGAUAAAUAAAUUCUUGCAAGAAAGUAUAUAGACUAAUAGGCAAACCUUGCAAAAGCACUUGCGAAGUGUCUACAUUCUCCUCUCAAUGGACAUGCAUUGCAGUUGGGUUUGCUUUUUGUACAGAAGACCUAACAAAGUAGCAAAUGAACUUGAUUUAAACUGUGAUUGCACAUAUACACCAGUUUUAGGGGAGAGUAACUACUGGUAUUGGCAUACCUUUCCAAAAGUGAUCAUAUGGUAAUGCAACUCAUAUCUGUAAUCAAGUAGGGUUUGAAUCAGUAAAUGCAUCACUUGAUAAGAAGAAAAAGUAAUUUUCUAUGUUAAGUAUUAUGCAUGUAUAUAAUUUAUUAUUCCCUUUACAAAAAUCAACUACCUGAAUCUACUAGUCUGUCACACAAAUCUCUGCACUUUCUUACAAUCAAAAUCUUUUCUUCCACUAUGCAGUAUACUGUUAUAAUUGGAUCACUUACAUUUAAUAACAAACUAGUGCUUGUUGCCCAGGCCUGGGAAAAAUUGGUUUUCGAGAAAAGAAUGUUACUUACAAUGUUCUCUGAUCGAGCUUGCAGAGACGUGGCCAGAGGUACUUUUGAAUUGACUCCAGCACUGGGUACCUGUAGAAACAGCAGAGUUAGACUAUGUAGGCAAUUUUAGAAAAUUUACGUAGACAAGAUACUCACAAUUCCAGAAGAUGCAACUGUAGCGAUUCCGGCAAUGGCUGCAGGGGCACCCAUCCCAGUCUAACGGCUAUACGGCCAACGUUUGUGUCGACCUUGUUAAAGACACGAAGGCAUUAGUGGGAACACAUGGCUAUUUUUCAUAUUAAUUACCUCUUCAAAAGUUGGUUCAGAAAUCUUACAGGGAAAGCAAGGUGGUGAAGUGUUAAAAGUCGCACACACUCUACGCUCUUCAGGCCCAAGCCCCUGAUGCUUAAUAGAUACUCUCUGAGACCAUACAUGUGUAUUUGUUUAGUCGGUGAAUAAUAGUUUGAUAAACAUUGAGAAAUUAUUUGCUCAAUUGCAAGCUUACUUUGCUUUGUCUGGUGGAACGUCUCUCAGCCAUUCAAGAUCAAUACUUCCAUGUUCUCUAAAAAUCCGAUUAAGGAAAUCCUGCAAUUGUUCAUUUCUUUUCAUUGAGCAAUUUCUUAGGGUUUCGGGAAUUACUGUAAUAGAUGAAUAAAGGUGUUCAGAUUUGAAAAGAAUUAGGUUAUUCAUUGCAAUUUUCAUGUGUGUACCUUGAUUCUCUCUGCUAGCAUAUUGUUCAUUCCCCGUUCUCUGAUGGUAUGGGCUAUCUCAUUGACAUCUGCACACCUCACUGCUUCCCAGUCCAGUGAAUCCAUUAUGUUUGCUGUCCUUUCUCUUUUCUUACCAUUGUUCUGAGCCUGUAACCUUAAACUGUCCCAGUCAACAUUCUGUUUCUCUUUUCCAGGCCGUUUCCUUUUUGCUUUAGGAUUGUCAUUUGCUCUGUCUAAUGUGCUAUCAGCAUGAUGUUUUUCGUUGUUUGAGUUCGACUUCAAAGCUAUGUGCUCAGACUUGCAUGAAUCGACAACUACACUGACCUCCUCUCUGACAUCUACAAUGGCUUCUGAAAAUGUUGGUGCUUCUGCUACUCGCUGCAUAUUGUAGUUGCUCUCUUCAAUUUGGAUUUGUAGCUCAAAGUUGGCUACUGGAUCAUCAAUUGUUGCUAUAUCCACCUUGUUUUCAUGGUGAUUGCGUGAGAUUUUAGCCUCACUCCUCAUCUCUUCAUGCAGUUCUUGAUUUGUAGAUUCUGCUGAUAAUUUACUUUGUUCAGUUGCACUGAGUUUCCUUGAGAGAUCUGGAAAUUUUGCAGCUUCUUCCAAGUCGUCUUUGCACUUGGUUCCUUGUGCUCCUACAUUAGGCAUCAGACAUGAGUCCAAAUAGCUACGAGGACAAGCAUUUUCUAGUGAGCCUUUGUGAUUCUCCUCAUCCUUCUGGAAGUGUGAACAACAUGCCACAUGUAGUUGGCCAUGUACAUCUGUUUCUGGUAAGAUGUUUUCACUGUUCUGAUCCUGGACUCCAUGUGAUUUCAAAGUUCCUGCCAUCUGUAGUAACUUCAAAAAUGAUGUGGAGCCAGAAAAGUUGCUUGAUUCAAUUCCUUCCAAAGGUUGAACAACCGGAAAGUUAACAGAAUUUUGAGAAGAAAGUACAGAAUUCUGAGAAGAGAGCAAAUCGUCUGGUCCUAUUUGAUCCUCCGAAAAACUUGUUGCUGCAUUAGCUGUAGCCGAUCCAUACAUUGCUGAUUCAUGAUGCACACAUGAACUUUCUCUAGAAGAACCAGGUUGCUGCGAUAUGGAAUUUUCAGUUGGACUAAUGCAGUUAGUGCUAUUUUCACUUGAUUCAAUGCUGUUAACAACUGUUUUUUCAUCGUUUGAUUCUGCACCAGAGAUUCUCAAGAAAUUCUGACCAAGAGUUGGUUGACUUGAUUGAUCAUCAUGCCAUCCAAUUGUAUCAUCAGCCUCCAGGCCACUCACUUCAGGUUCUUCAAUUAUGAUCCCUGUUCUCUCUUCAUGCUUUUCAGUACCAGCUUUUGACUUAAGAGGGAAUUGAGCAGCAAGCGACAUGAAUGCCGAGCUAAAAAGCAGAUAAAAUGCUUUAUUGGAAGUCAAUGUUUUAAAUGUCUUAUGGAUGUACCAGAAAAAGGAGAAAUUAAAAAAGAAACCUGUGGUGUAAAGUCCAGCUUACCUAGAAAGGUGGUCUGAGACAUUCUGUGUCAGGAAAACUCCAACUACAGAGUCUACAACAGAUCCCUUCCAAGGAGAGAAUCGCCUGUCUCCUGGCUCACCGAAAAAUAGGAAAUGGUCAAUGAUACAAAAGAUGACAAUGUUACAUGCACAUCUUGCUUGUUUCUGGUAUGGCCCUUUGUGAAAUAAAGUUUUCUGGAGGACAAAGGAAAAACAACAAGGUAACAUGGAAUCUCGUUUAAGGUUGAUGGAUUGGUGUGCAAUCCUAGUGUUAAGCUGAUCAUGACUUCUAUUGGUAUGACGAGGGUUUAGUUGCAGGUUGUUUUGCAUCAAAAUUAAAUCUAUUAUCUUAAUAGUUUGCUGAUAUUAUAUGAUUAAUGUGUAACGAUCUAAGACUUUUGCAGAUGAAGAUAUAGGGACAGGCUUGCUUCUUCCAUCAUAAUCCCCUUUCUCUUUACGGGACUGUACAUUUGUAUAGAUACGUGUCAUGCUGGAUUUUAGGUUUCUUUCUUGACCUUGCAGGUGCAUCUGUGUUUGUCAGGUUGGAAUCUUUGGAUUAACUUAUUGCUAGUGCAUCUUUAUAAUACAAGUUGGUUUCUAGUGAUAGUUUGUGUUUCUUCCUAUCCAUCUGCCCAUCCUAUUUAGACUAGCAUUUUUUUAUUUAUUGUUGACUGCUUUUCUAAUCAAACGAAUCUAGCUGGGGGUAUGCUUAUUUGAUAGCCACUAUAAAGAUGUGAAAGCUAUGUACACUUACCUUGAACAAGACGCAUCCGUGCGACAAAUGAGUCUACUCGUCCAUGAAACACUCCNNNNNNNNNNNNNNNNNNNNNNNNNNNNNNNNNNNNNNNNNNNNNNNNNNNNNNNNNNNNNNNNNNNNNNNNNNNNNNNNNNNNNNNNNNNNNNNNNNNNNNNNNNNNNNNNNNNNNNNNNNNNNNNNNNNNNNNNNNNNNNNNNNNNNNNNNNNNNNNNNNNNNNNNNNNNNNNNNNNNNNNNNNNNNNNNNNNNNNNNNNNNNNNNNNNNNNNNNNNNNNNNNNNNNNNNNNNNNNNNNNNNNNNNNNNNNNNNNNNNNNNNNNNNNNNNNNNNNNNNNACGUUCUUCUUCCCACCAUUUUGCCUUAUCUUCAUCUGUACCAUCAAUGCCUUCACUAUUUAUAUCUUGCAGCAGAAGCUUCCAUACCCUAGCGGUCUCAUCAUCAAGGUCAACCUUGGGCCGCGGUUUUCGUCUUCUAAUGAAUGAUCCUGCAAAAGGGACAAUACUUCCAUCUCUUCGAUAAAUAACAAGGGCAUUUUCUGCUUGAAACUUAUUCUGGUAGGUGAUUUCCCCAUAUUGAUAUUGAUCUUGGAUGCUUUCUCUAUUUAAAUCAAGAUGCUGCAAGCAUUCUGCAAUUUCUUCAAUUGGGGAUCUCCAUGUUAUAGCUGGUAGGAAACCUGCAUCCAAUUUCGAGCAAUUAAAGUCCACAUCUUAUUUGAUAAGGUUAUCCAAAAGUUAAGAAUAUAGCUCCAACUACCCCUUGCAUUUGUUGUGAAUUGUUGUUGAGCAUACAUAUAGGAUGCUGUGGAACUGACUAGGAUGCUUCUCUUUGACCGCUUUUUUGUUUUCAUUAUUGCACGGGUGUCAGCAACUAGGGCUUCCAUGCAUGUAUUAGGCUGAUAUGAAUAUCUUUCUCCAAAUUCAGAUAUCGAUGCUUCUUUGGCAGGAGGAGUAGGAAAGUGUUUGCAAAUUUCAAGCAGUGAUGCUAAGUCACGUACUUUACUUAUGCCUUUUGAUCUUUUUCUUCUUAACCCCUCUGCUUCUACAAAUGCUGGUACAAGUUCGGGAUUCCACAUUCUAUUAUUAGCUUUGUCAUUUGCAGACGUACUGGCUUGGGAAAGACCAAUGUUGCACUGAGACAAAGACAGAUAGUUAGUUUCACAUGUAAAAGGCGUUGCUGUGGGAUGGCCCUUUUCUGUUCUCUUUUUCUUGUAAAUUGUAGGAAAAUGCAUCCCUUGUGUACUGUGAGCAUAAGGUUCAUUUGCUGGGAGGAUUGCUUGAUAUGCCUGCAUGGAGUUGAAGUAGGCUCCCUUGACAUUUGUGCUGUAAAGUUCUGCUUCAUUAGUUCUAAAAGAAUGUUGUCUUUUCAAGGCUCUUUCUGGUGUUUCCUGGAUCAAGCAUGCGCUGCUGCUACAGUUGGAAUCAUACAGAUUCUUUGGUGUCAUUUCUGAAAUGCUUGCCUGUUUAUCAUGAGUUUCAUCUGAGAAAAUGAUUUUACACUUUCCUCUGGAACAUGCGAUGUCAUAAACUGUGCCCAAUUCUGUCUUUCCUGUUGUGACUUCAAUAUCCUUUCCAAGAUGUACACUAGAACGGGAUUGAUUCUCAUGCAAGUCCUCCACAGUUGAAGAGGGCCAGUGUGAAGAGCUUUCAUCACUUAAUCUACUUUCUGAGUCAAAAUUCAAUGAUUUCCUGCAGGAUCUUCUUGGACGAGAAAUAUUUGGUGGAUCAAUUGUUUCAUCUUCGACAGGAUUUGGUGCGGGCUUGUUAACUUUAUUUCUUCUGACAUACCUCCUCUUUGCUCUUUGGAUUUCUCUGGAACUAGGAAGUUGGCUCUGGGGACUAGUCAUACCGUCUACCUUGUCUGAGGGUGUGCAUAGAGGUUCCUCAACCUUGUUCCUUCGGACAUAUUUCCUCUUUUCUCCUGUUGUUUCCUUUGAACGAUGCUGCUGGUUUUUUUUUGGUUUAGGAGUCCUUCUAGGCUGGCCUUCAAUUACCACUUUAGGCCGGUGCUUCUUCCUUCUUCGUUUCUGCUGUGGUGUAUUAUUCUGUUCAGCAUCCUGUUCGUCCGCCUUGUCAGGCUUGUGACUCUCCUGCAAUUCUGAUACGUUCAACACCAGCCCUGACUGCUCUUUCUUCUGUUGAGGAUCAUUUGCUUGUGCUCUCUUUAAUGUAUCUUCACAUGACUGCAUGUGGCUUGGUAGCGGUGUCUCGUUAAUGUCUAGAUUUGACUCAUCAGAUGCUCGGCCCCCUUUGUUCUUGAUCUGGUCUGGUGUUAUUGGUUCAAAGUGGACAGUGUUGUUGCUUCUCAAGACUUCAUCUGUUGGUGAAUUCAGGUUAAAAGGGAAUCUCGAGCAAAUAGAGCUUCCAUCUGCGUGAUAGGCACCUCUUUCAUGUUAGUUUAUUGAGGAAAUCUCAGAAUUGAAACAACACUUUCUAAAGAUUCUAGUUGAGUAUGCUAAGCCAUGAAAAUAUCUUUUGAUGUUUGGCUGAAUUAAUGUUUAACACAGUAGAACAUAACACAACAAUGUCGAAGCGGGUACCACAUGUCUCAAAAAAUUAACUGUUAAGAAUAUCAGGACAAAUGAGAAAGACAUCACUUAUUGAAUAGCACACUAUUAGAGAAAACACGUCACUGUUUGUUUCACCUCUGAUUUUAAUGAAGGUACCUGAUUCUAUAGUCUGUUUUGUAACUUUAUCAAGCGUUCGCUAGAAUGUUCAACUAAAUGCUAGAUAACUUCUUCAUGAGCAGCCAAAUAUUUCAAAAAGAUUGUAAGUUAUAGAUGUCAGUCAGCUUGAUUUACCUAAACCAAAGCUUAUCAAUGAUCUUAUUGUAUUUCAUUCUCUAUCCUUUUGCAGGUCUUAGUUAUCCGUGAAGACACUGCCACUGAGUCGCAUUCAAGACACUUAUGACAUGCACACGGAAUGUGAUUUCAUAAUCUGGAAGCUUCAGGCAUUAUGCAUUUUUAUUAUGUCAUAACGACAAAUCAAUGAAUACUUCAAUUCUUUACCUGCAUCCUGAGAACUGACAAGGGGAUUGAAAGAACCGCUCAUGGUAAAAUUAGUUUCUGCAUUUUCAGCGGCGGCUGUGGAUCCAGC